Molecule: long non-coding RNA, 202 nt
Filed under: Elaeis guineensis (African oil palm)
Lineage: Eukaryota; Viridiplantae; Streptophyta; Magnoliopsida; Arecales; Arecaceae
Description: long non-coding RNA (EGUI_LNC077207)
Source: RNAcentral
UCAAAUAACUUUUAUUAAUGAAAAAUCAUAUACAAUCUACAAGAAUAAGCACAAUCAUCAACAGACUAACGAUUGGCUUUAGGACAUAUUUUUUCACAACUUUCAUUUGGACUAAAGUCAAUCGGUACAGUAUCGUAUACCUAUCUUCAACUUGUGAUCAUCGAACUCUUUGAUUCUGAGAGCUUUAGUAAAUGGGUCGGUC